Molecule: unclassified non-coding RNA, 305 nt
Filed under: uncultured Cortinariaceae
Lineage: Eukaryota; Fungi; Basidiomycota; Agaricomycetes; Agaricales; Cortinariaceae
Description: sequence contains ITS2
Rfam family: 5.8S ribosomal RNA (bases 1-52)
Source: RNAcentral
AACGCAUCUUGCGCUCCUUGGUAUUCCGAGGAGCAUGCCUGUUUGAGUGUCAUUAAUCUCUCAACCACACCAAUCUUUUUGGUUUGAUGUGGCUUUUGGAUGUGGGGGUUUUGUAUUUUGCUGGCUUCUAUUAAAUGAGGUCAGCUCCCCUGAAACUUAUUAGCGGUAUCUGAGCAGAGAGACCUACUACAGGUGUGAUAAAUUAUCUAUGCCUUGGUCAUGCUGCAUAAACAGAUUGUGCUGCUUCCAGUGAAUCAUUUGACAAAUUUGACCUCAAAUCAGGUAGGACUACCCGCUGAACUUAA